This 402-nucleotide ribosomal RNA is filed under the name bacterium. RNAcentral's name for it is "partial 16S ribosomal RNA". It matches the Rfam family "Bacterial small subunit ribosomal RNA", at positions 355 to 776 of the family's 1533-position model. The record is from RNAcentral.
UGGGGAAUUUUGCACAAUGGGGGAAACCCUGAUGCAGCGACGCCGCGUGAUUUAGAAGGCCUUCGGGUUGUAAAAAUCUUUUCUAUGGGAAGAAAAUGACAGUACCAUAGGAAUAAGGACCGGCUAAUUACGUGCCAGCAGCCGCGGUAAUACGUAAGGUCCGAGCGUUGUCCGGAAUCAUUGGGCGUAAAGGGUACGUAGGCGGGUAAGCAAGUUAGAAGUGAAAUCCUAUAGCUCAACUAUAGUAAGCUUUUAAAACUGCUCAUCUUGAGGUAUGGAAGGGAAAGUGGAAUUCCUAGUGUAGCGGGGAAAUGCGCAGAUAUUAGGAGGAAUACCGGUGGCGAAGGCGACUUGCUGGCCAUAACCUGACGCUGAGGUACGAAAGCGUGGGUAGCAAACAGG